RNAcentral lists this ribosomal RNA (497 nucleotides) under uncultured bacterium. RNAcentral's name for it is "partial 16S ribosomal RNA". It matches the Rfam family "Bacterial small subunit ribosomal RNA", at positions 28 to 507 of the family's 1533-position model. The record is from RNAcentral.
GAUGAACGCUGGCGGCGUGCCUAAUACAUGCAAGUCGAGCGAACGGACGAGAAUCUUGCUUCUCUGAUGUUAGCGGCGGGCGGGUGAGUAACACGUGGAUAACCUACCUAUAAGACUUGGAUAACUUCGGGAAACCGGAGCUAAUACCGGAUGAUAUUUUGAACCGCAUGGUUCAAAAGUGAAAGACGGUCUUGCUGUCGCUUAUAGAUGGAUCCGCGCUGCAUUAGCUGGUUGGUAAGGUAACGGCUUACCAAGGCAACGAUGCAUAGCCGACCUGAGAGGGUGAUCGGCCACACUGGAAGUGAGCCACGGUCCAGACUCCUACGGGAGGCAGCAGUAGGGAAUCUUCGGCAAUGGGCGAAAGCCUGACGGAGGAACGCCGCGUGAGUGAUGAAGGUCUUCGGAUCGUAAAACUCUGUUAUUAGGGAAGAACAUAUGUGUAAGUAACUGUGCACAUCUUGACGGUACCUAAUCAGAAAGCCACGGCUAACUACGUG